Molecule: transfer RNA, 69 nt
Filed under: Rattus norvegicus (Norway rat)
Lineage: Eukaryota; Metazoa; Chordata; Mammalia; Rodentia; Muridae
Rfam family: tRNA
About the family: Transfer RNA (tRNA) molecules are approximately 80 nucleotides in length. Their secondary structure includes four short double-helical elements and three loops (D, anti-codon, and T loops).
Source: Rfam by way of RNAcentral
GGGGAUUUAGCUCAGUGGUAGAGCGCUUGCCUAGAAAGUGCAAGGUCCUGGGUUCGGUCCCCAGCUCCG